RNAcentral lists this ribosomal RNA (517 nucleotides) under uncultured fungus. RNAcentral describes it as "SSU rRNA". It matches the Rfam family "Eukaryotic small subunit ribosomal RNA", at positions 214 to 732 of the family's 1831-position model. The record is from RNAcentral. Lineage: Eukaryota; Fungi.
AUUAAAAACCGAUGCCCUCUAGGCUUACAGGUGAUUCAUGAUAACUUCUCGAAUCGCAUGGCCUUGCGCCGGCGAUGGUUCAUUCAAAUCUCUUCCCUAUCAACUUUCGAUGCGAAGGUCUUGUCUUCGCAUGGUUACAACGGGUAACGGAGGGUUAGGGCUCGAUCCCGGAGAAGGAGCCUGAGAAACGGCUACUACAUCCAAGGAAGGCAGCAGGCGCGCAAAUUACCCAAUCCCGACACGGGGAGGUAGUGACAAAAAAUACUGAUACAGGGCUCUUUUGGGUCUUGUAAUUGGAAUGAGUACAAUUUAAAUCCCUUAACGAGGAACAAUUGGAGGGCAAGUCUGGUGCCAGCAGCCGCGGUAAUUCCAGCUCCAAUAGCGUAUAUUAAAGUUGUUGUGGUUAAAAAGCUCGUAGUUGAACCUUGGGCCUGGCUGGCCGGUCCCCCUCACCGGGUGCACUGAUCCAGCCGGGUCUUUCCCUCUAUGGAACCCCAUGGCCUUCACUGGUCGUGGC